Molecule: ribosomal RNA, 403 nt
Filed under: bacterium
Lineage: Bacteria
Also listed under: 7 other names
Description: partial 16S ribosomal RNA
Rfam family: Bacterial small subunit ribosomal RNA
Source: RNAcentral
UGGGGAAUAUUGCACAAUGGGGGAAACCCUGAUGCAGCGACGCCGCGUGAACGAAGAAGGUAUUCGUAUCGUAAAGUUCUGUCCUAUGGGAAGAUAAUGACAGUACCAUAGAAGAAAGCUCCGGCUAAAUACGUGCCAGCAGCCGCGGUAAUACGUAUGGAGCGAGCGUUGUCCGGAAUUAUUGGGCGUAAAGGGUACGCAGGCGGUUUAAUAAGUCGAAUGUUAAAGAUCGGGGCUCAACCCCGUAAAGCAUUGGAAACUGAUAAACUUGAGUAGUGGAGAGGAAAGUGGAAUUCCUAGUGUAGUGGUGAAAUACGUAGAUAUUAGGAGGAAUACCAGUAGCGAAGGCGACUUUCUGGACACAAACUGACGCUGAGGUACGAAAGCGUGGGGAGCAAACAGG